UGACGAGUGGCGGACGGGUGAGUAAUGCUUGGGAACUUGCCUUUGCGAGGGGGAUAACAGUUGGAAACGACUGCUAAUACCGCAUAAUGUCUUCGGACCAAACGGGGCUUCGGCUCCGGCGCAAAGAGAGGCCCAAGUGAGAUUAGCUAGUUGGUAAGGUAACGGCUUACCAAGGCGACGAUCUCUAGCUGUUCUGAGAGGAAGAUCAGCCACACUGGGACUGAGACACGGCCCAGACUCCUACGGGAGGCAGCAGUGGGGAAUAUUGCACAAUGGGGGAAACCCUGAUGCAGCCAUGCCGCGUGUGUGAAGAAGGCCUUCGGGUUGUAAAGCACUUUCAGUUGUGAGGAAAAGUUAGUAGUUAAUACCUGCUAGCCGUGACGUUAACAACAGAAGAAGCACCGGCUAACUCCGUGCCAGCAGCCGCGGUAAUACGGAGGGUGCGAGCGUUAAUCGGAAUUACUGGGCGUAAAGCGCACGCAGGCGGUUUGUUAAGCUAGAUGUGAAAGCCCCGGGCUCAACCUGGGAUGGUCAUUUAGAACUGGCAGACUAGAGUCUUGGAGAGGGGAGUGGAAUUCCAGGUGUAGCGGUGAAAUGCGUAGAUAUCUGGAGGAACAUCAGUGGCGAAGGCGACUCCCUGGCCAAAGACUGACGCUCAUGUGCGAAAGUGUGGGUAGCGAACAGGAUUAGAUACCCUGGUAGUCCACACCGUAAACGCUGUCUACUAGCUGUGUGUGCCUUUA
This 743-nucleotide ribosomal RNA is filed under the name Alteromonadales bacterium HOT3D3. RNAcentral describes it as "bacterial SSU rRNA". It matches the Rfam family "Bacterial small subunit ribosomal RNA", at positions 89 to 834 of the family's 1533-position model. RNAcentral also lists the same sequence under 1 other name. Lineage: Bacteria; Pseudomonadati; Pseudomonadota; Gammaproteobacteria; Alteromonadales. The record is from RNAcentral.